Non-coding RNA from Biomphalaria pfeifferi, 270 nucleotides. Lineage: Eukaryota; Metazoa; Mollusca; Gastropoda; Planorbidae. The record is from the annotation of a GenBank genome assembly.
UCACUGAAAACCAUCUUAAAAGCAUUAAGAAAAUCAUAUACCAAUUAAAUACACAUCAAACAAAAUAAAUAAAUGCUGGUUUAAAAAAAGACUAAAGAAGCUUUGUAAACAGAAGGAAAACCUAUAUAGAAAAUUUAAAGAAACUAAGGCAGAAAGAGUUUACAAAAGUAUAUAAAAAUUAAACACUUAACCCAAAAAGUAAGCAGACAGCUGCAGAGUGAAUAUACAAACAAUGUAAUAUCUAAAGAUAACAACAAAAACCUAUGGUCA